RNAcentral lists this long non-coding RNA (842 nucleotides) under Elaeis guineensis (African oil palm). RNAcentral describes it as "long non-coding RNA (EGUI_LNC005066)". The record is from RNAcentral. Lineage: Eukaryota; Viridiplantae; Streptophyta; Magnoliopsida; Arecales; Arecaceae.
AUUCUUGCCCUUGUCAUAAAGGAGCAAUUACAAAGUCAUCAGUCCUUACUACCUUCAUCCACUCUUUUUUCCUCUGAAUGUUUACUGUUCAUGUGACAUUUAUAUCUUUGUGUUGGUGAUGUUUGAAUCAGAUCUGGUAUUAGAUGUUUCAUUUGCAUUACUUCUCUACCCUACAAAGUAUAAUUCAAAGAGCAAUUCUUUGUGCACCUUGUGCGGUACAGAAAAUUAAGCACCGCAUGUGAUGAUUUUCUCACGCACGGGUUUAGGGAUAUCAGUAAAAAUUUUUUUUUGCCGGUCUCGUGCGAGAGCGAAUCAUCGCACAUGGUGCAUGAUUUUCUACACUGCAUGCGGUGCACAAAAAAUUUCGCUAAUUCAGGACCAUAAAAAACAUACCACAGCUCAAGUAUUUCAUGCUACUUAGCAUUGUUGCAAUUGUAUGACCCAUCAUUGAACUAAAAUAGUUUAACCCUAACAGGCAAAUGGGUUUUGGCUCAAGUUCUAGUUUAAUUAGAGCCCUACCAAGUCCAAGAGAAGGUGCUUGUACUGUUGGAUGAGAUUGGAUGCUAGAAAUACACAAAACCCCAGAGAAGACUUACUAAUCCUCACUGCUGUGACCGUAACCAGAAUGGGGCCUGAAUCCCUUAUUCAUUGUGAGCUGAAAGGAAGGAAAAGAAGACAGUGAGUUGCUAACAACCCAUUUGUGGGAUAGUGGUCAGGGUAUCCCCAUGCAGACAGGUUGCGGGUUUAAGUCCCUUCCAAUUGGGUACUGGUGUAGGCCUAUCUUGAGUACAUCAGAGUGGGAGGUGAGGACGCCAUGUUCAUGUCUGAUGUGACCAAGAGAG